This 460-nucleotide ribosomal RNA is filed under the name uncultured bacterium. Its description in RNAcentral is "partial 16S ribosomal RNA". It matches the Rfam family "Bacterial small subunit ribosomal RNA", at positions 338 to 795 of the family's 1533-position model. The record is from RNAcentral.
CCUACGGGAUGCAGCAGUGAGGAAUAUUGGUCAAUGGACGGAAGUCUGAACCAGCCAUGCCGCGUGCAGGAAGACGGCUCUAUGAGUUGUAAACUGCUUUUGUACAAGGGUAAACCUGAAUACGUGUAUUCAGCUGAAAGUACUGUACGAAUAAGGAUCGGCUAACUCCGUGCCAGCAGCCGCGGUAAUACGGAGGAUCCAAGCGUUAUCCGGAUUUGUUGGGUUUAAAGGGUGCGUAGGCGGAUUGAUAAGUUAGAGGUGAAAUGUCCGAGCUUAACUCGGGAACUGCCUCUAAUACUGUUGAUCUAGAGGGUAGGUGCGGUAGGCGGAAUGUAUGGUGUAGCGGUGAAAUGCUUAGAGAUCAUACAGAACACCGAUUGCGAAGGCAGCUUACCAAUCUAUAUCUGACGUUGAGGCACGAAGGCGUGGGGAGCGAACAGGAUUAGAUACCCGAGUAGUC